UUACGUUGGAGGGAGAACGGCCAGGGGUGAGAGUAGUGUUAGCUGUGCAGACGUGUGUGGCAGGCGUGUGCGGGCCGAGUGUGUGAGUGGACGCGUGGAUGUGUGAAUGAGCGCGUGGUGCGUGCAAGGGGAGUGCGUGCGCUCGCCCCCGUGCCCCUCCCCCGGCCUGCACAUUGAUCUUAUUUGAUCGGGUUGUGACUCCAGCCCCGCCGGACCGACCCGAAAUGAAAAGCUUCCCUCCUGCGAAGCCCCUUUCUCGGGGCGCUGUGCAGCGAGGCCCCUUGGGCGGUGGCAGCCCCGCGGUCCCGGAGCCGGUCCUCCGGAGCCCGGCGCUCAGAAGUGAUGAAUUGAUCAGAUAGACGAGGCCGGGCUUGUCCUGGGCCACUGAUUAUCGAGGCGAUUCUGAUCUGA
Hippopotamus amphibius kiboko is the source of this 411-nucleotide non-coding RNA. RefSeq annotates it as small Cajal body-specific RNA 2. NCBI's taxonomy places the organism in Eukaryota, Metazoa, Chordata, Mammalia, Artiodactyla, Hippopotamidae. The transcript has a single exon. The record is from RefSeq and is a predicted model, not a curated record.